This 497-nucleotide ribosomal RNA is filed under the name uncultured bacterium. RNAcentral describes it as "partial 16S ribosomal RNA". It matches the Rfam family "Bacterial small subunit ribosomal RNA", at positions 28 to 507 of the family's 1533-position model. The record is from RNAcentral.
GAUGAACGCUGGCGGCGUGCCUAAUACAUGCGAGUCGAGCGAACGGACGAGGAGCUUGCUUCUCUGACGUUAGCGGCGGACGGGUGAGUAACACGUGGAUAACCUACCUAUAAGACUGGGAUAACUUCGGGAAACCGGAGCUAAUACCGGAUAAUAUUUUGAACCGCAUGGUUCAACAGUGAAAGACGGUCUUGCUGUCACUUAUAGAUGGAUCCGCGCUGCAUUAGCUAGUUGGUAAGGUAACGGCUUACCAAGGCAACGAUGCAUAGCCGACCUGAGAGGGUGAUCGGCCACACUGGAACUGAGACACGGUCCAGACUCCUACGGGAGGCAGCAGUAGGGAAUCUUCCGCAAUGGGCGAAAGCCUGACGGAGCAACGCCGCGUGAGUGAAGAAGGUCUUCGGAUCGUAAAACUCUGUUAUUAGGGAAGAACAAAUGUGUAAGUAACUGUGCACGUCUUGACGGUACCUAAUCAGAAAGCCACGGCUAACUACGUG